This 975-nucleotide unclassified non-coding RNA is filed under the name Hevea brasiliensis (rubber tree). Lineage: Eukaryota; Viridiplantae; Streptophyta; Magnoliopsida; Malpighiales; Euphorbiaceae. The record is from RNAcentral.
GCCUAAUACAGACUUUUCAUACUUGAUAUUUCAAAAUUAAACAUUCUAGUCCCUGAGAUUAUUGACAGCAUGGCAGUCAAGCCUUUGAGGCAUAACGCAAUAAAUUUUUUAUAACACUUUAGUCCUUGAUAUUUAAAAUUUGACUAUAUUCCUAAAUUUUAAAAUUUUAUUGCACUUCUAUCCUUGAAUUGUUGCACUAAUAAACAUUUCUUGCAUCUCAAUAUAUUACAUCUUCAACAAUCAUAGUAAAAGGAUUAAGACGCCUAUUUUCUAAAUAGACAGGACAAAAAUUUAUCUAAGGCUAAAUCCUAAGGAGCUUUUAGUUAACUUCCCUGUUAAAAUGCUCUAAAAUGAAAACCAUGAAUUUUGCAUGAAUAAGACAAACAAGAAAAAGAGGACAAGUUGGCACAUAUCACCUCUUAAUCACAUAUCACGUCUUAAUCUCAUAUGGUAUGAUGAGGAAAUAUUAGGUCUGCGAAUGUUACUUAGACUCCGGUAUGAGCAUCCAAAUGCAGUUAUGCAUCCAUGGGUCAGACUCAUGAUUUUGAAUUACAAAAUGAAAACCAGAAAUGGCGUUGCAGAAUCAAACUGAAUCAGCUGACGCUACAAUGAAUUUUCUCAAACCAUUGGCAAUUCACCUUAAAUCAACACUACACCAAGAAUUGAAUAAAUAGGGAAGAUAUUAAAUCAAUAAACACCCAAAGGAACAAUUUAUUAAAUAAUAUAGUUGCUAGUCACCACUCACCACCAAAAUGAUAAUUUCAUCAAGGCAAUAUGGACCAAAUUGCUUUCAAUACAUUACAUAUUUUAUAAAUAUGCAAAUAAUAAAUAACUUUUCCUUAUAAAAGUUAGAAAUUAAAAAUACUACAAUCAAAAUAAUAAAUUAACAAUUAUUUCCCCACAUCCAUUAACAAACUAUCUUUUGGAUUAAAAACUUAUAGAUCUUAAAAUUUUACUUAUUUAUAACUAUUAAAA